GAACGCUGGCGGCGUGCUUAACACAUGCAAGUCGAGCGGAAAGGCCCUUCGGGGUACUCGAGCGGCGAACGGGUGAGUAACACGUGAGUAACCUGCCCCAGGCUUUGGGAUAACCCUCGGAAACGGGGGCUAAUACCGAAUAUUCAUGCCGUGUGGCAUCACAUGGUGUGGAAAGUUUUUCGGCUUGGGAUGGGCUCGCGGCCUAUCAGCUUGUUGGUGGGGUGAUGGCCUACCAAGGCGACGACGGGUAGCCGGCCUGAGAGGGCGACCGGCCACACUGGGACUGAGACACGGCCCAGACUCCUACGGGAGGCAGCAGUGGGGAAUAUUGCACAAUGGGCGGAAGCCUGAUGCAGCGACGCCGCGUGAGGGAUGAAGGCCUUCGGGUUGUAAACCUCUUUCGACAGGGACGAAGCGCGAGUGACGGUACCUGGAGAAGAAGCGCCGGCCAACUACGUGCCAGCAGCCGCGGUAAGACGUAGGGCGCGAGCGUUGUCCGGAUUUAUUGGGCGUAAAGAGCUCGUAGGCGG
This 530-nucleotide ribosomal RNA is filed under the name Dactylosporangium fulvum. Its description in RNAcentral is "bacterial SSU rRNA". It matches the Rfam family "Bacterial small subunit ribosomal RNA", at positions 31 to 578 of the family's 1533-position model. The record is from RNAcentral. Lineage: Bacteria; Bacillati; Actinomycetota; Actinomycetes; Micromonosporales; Micromonosporaceae.